AACGAACGCUGGCGGCAUGCCUAACACAUGCAAGUCGAACGAAACCUUCGGGUCUAGUGGCGCACGGGUGCGUAACGCGUGGGAACCAGCCCUUAGGUUCGGAAUACCUCCCCGAGAGGGAUGCUCAUAACGGAUGAUGUCUUCGGACCAAAGAUUUCUCGCCAUUGGAUGGGCCCGCGUUGGAUUCGCUAGUUGGUAGGGUAAAAGCCUAGCAAGGCGAUGAUCCAUGGCUGGUCUGAUAGGAUGAUUAGCCACACUGGGACUGAGACACGGACCAGACUCGGACGCAAGGGUGCAGAGGGGUAUAUUGGACGAUGGGCGAAGGCGUGAUCAAGCAAUGCGGCGGAAGUGAUGAAUGCGUUAGUGUUGUAAAGCCCUUUGACCCGGGAUGAUAAUGACGGUACCGGGUAAAUAAGCUCCGGCUAACUACGUG
RNAcentral lists this ribosomal RNA (433 nucleotides) under uncultured bacterium. RNAcentral's name for it is "partial 16S ribosomal RNA". It matches the Rfam family "Bacterial small subunit ribosomal RNA", at positions 29 to 507 of the family's 1533-position model. The record is from RNAcentral.